Molecule: ribosomal RNA, 403 nt
Filed under: uncultured bacterium
Lineage: Bacteria
Description: bacterial SSU rRNA
Rfam family: Bacterial small subunit ribosomal RNA
Source: RNAcentral
UAGGGAAUAUUGCAAAAUGGGCGAAAGCCCGAUGCAGCAACGCCGCGUGGGCGAUGAAGGCCUUCGGGUCGUAAAGCCCUUUUUGAGGGGAUGAGGAAGGACAGUACCCUCAGAAUAAGCCUCGGCUAACUACGUGCCAGCAGCCGCGGUAAAACGUAGGAGGCGAGCGUUAUCCGGAUUUACUGGGCGUAAAGCGCGUGCAGGCGGAUUGGAGAGUUGGAUGUGAAAGCUCCCGGCUUAACUGGGAGAGGUCGUUCAAUACUUCCAGUCUUGAGUGCAGUAGAGGGAAGUGGAAUUCCGGGUGUAGUGGUGAAAUGCGUAGAUAUCCGGAGGAACACCAGUAGCGAAAGCGGCUUCCUGGACUGUAACUGACGCUCAGACGCGAAAGCUAGGGUAGCAAACG